GGACCCGACUGCUAUCGGGGUAGGGCUAAGCCAUGCGAGUCGCGCGCCCGGGGGCGCCCGGGAGCGGCGCACGGCUCAGUAACACGUGCCUAACCUACCCUCGGGAGGGGGAUACCCCCGGGAAACUGGGGUCAAUCCCCCAUAGGGUAAGGGCGCUGGAAGGCCCCUUACCCGAAAGGGACAGCGGCUGAUCCGCCGCUGUCCGCCCGAGGAUGGGGGCACGGCCCAUCAAGGUAGUUGGCGGGUUAAAGGUCCGCCAAGCCGAAGACGGGUAGGGGCGGUGAGAGCCGUGAGCCCCGAGAUCGGCACUGAGACAAGGGCCGAGGCCCUACGGGGCGCAGCAGGCGCGAAUACUCCGCAAUGCGGGCAACCGCGACGGGGCUACCCCGAGUGCCGGGCGAAGAGCCCGGCUUUUGCCCGGUCUAAAAAGCCGGGAGAAUAAGCGGGGGGCAAGUCUGGUGUCAGCCGCCGCGGUAAUACCAGCCCCGCGAGUGGUCGGGGUGCUUACUGGGCUUAAAGCGCCCGUAGCCGGCCCGGUAAGUCGCCCCUGAAAUCCCGGGGCUCAACCCCGGGGCUGGGGGCGAUACUGCCGGGCUAGGGGGUGGGAGAGGCCGCCGGUACUCCGGGGGUAGGGGCGAAAUCCGUUAAUCCCCGGAGGACCACCAGUGGCGAAAGCGGGCGGCCAGAACGCGCCCGACGGUGAGGGGCGAAAGCCGGGGGAGCAAAGGGGAUUAGAUACCCCUGUAGUCCCGGCCGUAAACGAUGCGGGCUAGCUGUCGGCCGGGCUUAGGGCCCGGCCGGUGGCGAAGGGAAACCGUUAAGCCCGCCGCCUGGGGAGUACGGCCGCAAGGCUGAAACUUAAAGGAAUUGGCGGGGGGGCACCACAAGGGGUGAAGCUUGCGGCUUAAUUGGAUUCAACGCCGGGAA
This 927-nucleotide ribosomal RNA is filed under the name uncultured Thermoproteales archaeon. RNAcentral's name for it is "bacterial SSU rRNA". It matches the Rfam family "Archaeal small subunit ribosomal RNA", at positions 19 to 924 of the family's 1478-position model. Lineage: Archaea; Thermoproteati; Thermoproteota; Thermoprotei; Thermoproteales. The record is from RNAcentral.